RNAcentral lists this ribosomal RNA (460 nucleotides) under uncultured bacterium. Its description in RNAcentral is "partial 16S ribosomal RNA". It matches the Rfam family "Bacterial small subunit ribosomal RNA", at positions 338 to 795 of the family's 1533-position model. The record is from RNAcentral.
CCUACGGGAGACUGCAGUGAGGAAUAUUGGUCAAUGGGCGAGAGCCUGAACCAGCCAAGUCGCGUGAAGGAUGACGGCCCUACGGGUUGUAAACUUCUUUUGUCAGGGAGCAAUUGGGUCCACGCGUGGGCUUAGCGAGAGUACCUGAAGAAAACGCAUCGGCUAACUCCGUGCCAGCAGCCGCGGUAAUACGGAGGAUGCGAGCGUUAUCCGGAUUUAUUGGGUUUAAAGGGUGCGUAGGCGGAAUAUCAAGUCAGCGGUAAAAAUUCGGGGCUCAACCCCGUCGUGCCGUUGAAACUGAUGUUCUUGAGUGGGCGAGAAGUAGGCGGAAUGCGUGGUGUAGCGGUGAAAUGCAUAGAUAUCACGCAGAACACCGAUUGCGAAGGCAGCAUACCGGCGCCCAACUGACGCUGAAGCACGAAAGCGUGGGUAGCGAACAGGAUUAGAUACCCUGGUAGUC